UACGUAGGGUGCAAGCGUUGUCCGGAAUUAUUGGGCGUAAAGGGCUCGUAGGCGGUCCAUCGCGUCGGGAGUGAAAAGCUGGGGCUUAACCCCAGUCCUGCUUCCGAUACGGGUGGACUAGAGGUAGGUAGGGGAGAUCGGAAUUCCUGGUGUAGCGGUGAAAUGCGCAGAUAUCAAGUGGAACACCAGUGGCGAAGGCGAGUCCCUGGAAAACUCCUGACACUGAGGCACGAAAGCUAGGGGAGCAAACGGG
RNAcentral lists this ribosomal RNA (253 nucleotides) under uncultured bacterium. RNAcentral describes it as "partial 16S ribosomal RNA". It matches the Rfam family "Bacterial small subunit ribosomal RNA", at positions 524 to 776 of the family's 1533-position model. The record is from RNAcentral.